UACGUAGGGUGCUAGCGUUGUCCGGAUUUAUUGGGCGUAAAGAGCUCGUAGGCGGCUUGUCGCGUCGAAUGUGAAAUCUCGGGGCUCAACUCCGAGCUUGCAUUCGAUACGGGCAGGCUAGAGUUCGGUAGGGGAGACUGGAAUUCCUGGUGUAGCGGUGAAAUGCGCAGAUAUCAGGAGGAACACCGGUGGCGAAGGCGGGUCUCUGGGCCGAUACUGACGCUGAGGAGCGAAAGCGUGGGGAGCGAACAGG
RNAcentral lists this ribosomal RNA (253 nucleotides) under uncultured bacterium. Its description in RNAcentral is "partial 16S ribosomal RNA". It matches the Rfam family "Bacterial small subunit ribosomal RNA", at positions 524 to 776 of the family's 1533-position model. The record is from RNAcentral.